Thalassophryne amazonica is the source of this 91-nucleotide long non-coding RNA. RefSeq lists it as uncharacterized. The transcript is spliced from 3 exons. The record is from RefSeq and is a predicted model, not a curated record. NCBI's taxonomy places the organism in Eukaryota, Metazoa, Chordata, Actinopteri, Batrachoidiformes, Batrachoididae.
AUUUGUGAGAGGGUGUGUUUGAUCAACAAUUAAACAUUUAAGGUCUGUCAUACGGCUGUUGUCAGUCUAUAAUAUAAAUCAUAAUCUCACC